RNAcentral lists this ribosomal RNA (497 nucleotides) under uncultured bacterium. RNAcentral's name for it is "partial 16S ribosomal RNA". It matches the Rfam family "Bacterial small subunit ribosomal RNA", at positions 28 to 507 of the family's 1533-position model. The record is from RNAcentral.
GACGAACGCUGGCGGCGUGCCUAAUACAUGCAAGUAGAACGCUGAAGAGAGGAGCUUGCUCUUCUUGGCUGAGUUGCGAACGGGUGAGUAACGCGUAGGUAACCUGCCUUGUAGCGGGGGAUAACUAUUGGAAACGAUAGCUAAUACCGCAUAACAAUGGAUGACCCAUGUCAUUUAUUUGAAAGGGGCAAAUGCUCCACUACAAGAUGGACCUGCGUUGUAUUAGCUAGUAGGUGAGGUAACGGCUCACCUAGGCGACGAUACAUAGCCGACCUGAGAGGGUGAUCGGCCACACUGGGACUGAGACACGGCCCAGACUCCUACGGGAGGCAGCAGUAGGGAAUCUUCGGCAAUGGGGGCAACCCUGACCGAGCAACGCCGCGUGAGUGAAGAAGGGUUUCGGAUCGUAAAGCUCUGUUGUAAGUCAAGAACGAGUGUGAGAGUGGAAAGUUCACACUGUGACGGUAGCUUACCAGAAAGGGACGGCUAACUACGUG